GGACUUGAGGGUGAUCUGGCUCUGACAUCUGUCACCCCAUUGAUGAAUCAACCCAGGGUUGAUUCGCUGAUCUGGCUGGCUAGGCGGGUGUCCCCCUUCUCCCUCACGUCUCCAUGUAUGUCUCUCCUGAAGGUAGGAGCUUGGUAGAAGAGGAUGACCUUCCCUGAACAGAGACAGUGGAGGUUAUACUAGUAGCUGCGCUCCCUUUCUAGAACCUCUAGACAAUAAGUAAUGAUAACAAGGGCAACAAAUUGGGAAAAAUGAGCUCCAGGAGCAGUGGAUUCAUUAGUCUUUCU
RNAcentral lists this small nuclear RNA (296 nucleotides) under Erinaceus europaeus (western European hedgehog). RNAcentral describes it as "7SK RNA". It matches the Rfam family "7SK RNA". From Rfam's summary of the family: 7SK was discovered as an abundant small nuclear RNA in the mid-70s but a possible function has only recently been suggested. Two independent studies have found that 7SK RNA binds the CDK9/cyclin T complex (known as elongation factor P-TEFb). Lineage: Eukaryota; Metazoa; Chordata; Mammalia; Eulipotyphla; Erinaceidae. The record is from Rfam by way of RNAcentral.